CCUACGGGAGGCUGCCGUGAGGAAUAUUGGUCAAUGGGCGGGAGCCUGAACCAGCCAAGCCGCGUGAGGGAAGAAGGUACAGCGUAUCGUAAACCUCUUUUGUCAGGGAACAAAGGCGGGGACUAGUCCCCGGAUGAGGGUACCUGAAGAAAAAGCAUCGGCUAACUCCGUGCCAGCAGCCGCGGUAAUACGGAGGAUGCGAGCGUUAUCCGGAUUUAUUGGGUUUAAAGGGUGGGCAGAGGGCCUGUUAAGUCAGCGGUAAAAGCCCGGGGCUCAACACCGGCCAGCCGGGGAAAAUGGCGGGCGGGAGUGGGAGAGAGGUACGCGGAAUGCGCGGUGUAGCGGUGAAAUGCUUAGAUAUCGCGCAGAACCCCGAUUGCGAAGGCAGCGUACCGGCUCCACACUGACGCUGAGGCACGAAAGCGUGGGUAUCGAACAGGAGUAGAUACCCUGGUAGUC
This 459-nucleotide ribosomal RNA is filed under the name uncultured bacterium. Its description in RNAcentral is "partial 16S ribosomal RNA". It matches the Rfam family "Bacterial small subunit ribosomal RNA", at positions 338 to 795 of the family's 1533-position model. The record is from RNAcentral.